This 253-nucleotide ribosomal RNA is filed under the name uncultured bacterium. RNAcentral describes it as "partial 16S ribosomal RNA". It matches the Rfam family "Bacterial small subunit ribosomal RNA", at positions 524 to 776 of the family's 1533-position model. The record is from RNAcentral.
UACGAACCGUGCGAACGUUGUUCGGAAUCACUGGGCUUAAAGGGCGCGUAGGCGGGCAGUCAAGUCAGGGGUGAAAUCCCACGGCUCAACCGUGGAAGUGCCUUUGAUACUGGCUGUCUCGAGGGAGGUAGGGGCGUGCGGAACUUCCGGUGGAGCGGUGAAAUGCGUAGAUAUCGGAAGGAACGCCGGUGGCGAAAGCGGCGCGCUGGACCUCUUCUGACGCUGAGGCGCGAAAGCCAGGGGAGCAAACGGG